AAGCGGAGGUUGCAGUGAACUGAGAUUGCGCCAUUGCACUGCAGCCUAGGCAACAACAGUGAAACUCUGUUUCAAAAAAAAGAAUUAGAUGGCAAUAGCUUUAGCAAUCUAAUGUGGUAGGUGAUCUGGUAUUAUCUGUCUCUUUGGUCACAUGAGGAUAAGGCUGCCCAUCUCGGUUAUCCAUGUCCUGGGCCUUAGGAAGAAGGCAGCCAGAAUCUUAGAAAUUUGAACUGAGAAAAUUGAACACAAGUUAGCAGCCUAAAAUAUAAAACUGAUAUAAAAAUACAACCAGAUUGUGUAUGAAUUAUUGUUUUCUCAUCUUUAUUUUGUGCAGAUCAAGAAACUGAACUUUGCAAGUAUUUUCUGUGAAAGGGUGAAUAAGCUAUCCAAAGUGAGUGAUUUUAGCCUGUGUAGAAAACAUCUCCAGCUGUGUUAAAUAUAAAGCUGUCAGUUCUUUGAAUAUCUCCUUGCAAUAAUUAAUCAUCCUUCUCAGUUAACAGCACAGACAGUACAGCACAGGUGUCUUCAGAAUUCGGCAAAGUAGAUGGGACUGCAGACGUUACCAUUCCCUGUGACUCUUGCUACGAUCUUACAGACUUCAUUGUGCUGGGCUUAGAUGUCUUCAGAGUCACCAGCUUUGUUUUUCAGUUCCAUGAAAUCAGCCUGCCUUUUCUUUUUUUGGUGAUACAUCCACAUUCUGUAUAGGUGAAAAGCAAAACAAACAAGUAUAAAACGAAAAUUAUGUAAGAAGUACACACAUCCUAGCAGCUUGGCAAGUGUCUGUAUGCUCUUGCCUGUGCCUAAAUCCAGAAUUAGAAUUCAUGCUUGGUGCUCCUGUGGAAGAUGUCUAAAUGUUAUGAGAAAUACAUGAUUAAAUAAAAAUGUGAAAUGAAAGCAUGGAGACUUGUUGAAGGUGAGUGCUGUUUUUCUAAUUAUAUAUUUUAUUUGUUUAAUGAAUAAUUUGUUAAUUUUCUUUGUCAUUACGAGAGAGCUGUUUUAUUCUGUACUUAGGUGCAUAGCAUACUAUGUUUUAGUGAGCUCCACAUGUUAAUUUGAAACUUGCCAAAUUUUUACAUUAUUUUAUAAUUUAUAGUACUUUGAGAAACAUAUUGCAAUGCAUUACAAAGCAUAUAAUGUAAAGGUAGUUUUAUGAAGUGUUUUUCUCCCAAAUUAAGCAUAUUUGGGAAUUGCCCAUCAAUUUGUUUUUGAACCUCAGUGCAUAAAAUAUAGAAUUUUUCUUUCAUAUGCUAGAUGUGAAAAAUACUCAGCAUAUGCAUGUGGUUUAGGCUACAAAAUAGCCUGUAGGUUAAAUUCCUAAUUCUAGUGUUUAAUUCAUUGCCUUUUUUCUUCUUGUUUAAUGGCCAUAUGUUUAUAUCUUUAUAUUACAUACAUUCCUGAUUAUGUAAUAAGGUCUUUGAUCAUGUGGGCUAUCAGAUUUGCCUCACUUUGUCUCUUAGAAGAAGCUAUACAUGAAACUAUGUUGUACUUAAGUGAAAAUUUGAGUAUUUUUCUUGUUUGAAUUAAUGCAGUGAAACAUUCUACUUACAGUUAGCUGUCUCCCACCCUUACAGGAAGGUACAUGCCUUCAUUUUUUAAAACACUGUAUAUUUAUUAGAAUUGUUACAGAAUUUUAGUAAAUAUAUUCUAAUCACAUAUUUUCUGAUUAAUGUGUGCUUAUCAGUUUUAAAUGUUAUGAAAUCUGGAUAUAUGUUAAAAUGUCUCAGUUUUCCCCUCUUGUUUACCAUAUUGCCAUUUGGUAUUAAUAGAUAACAUAAUGUAAAAUUGGAUGUCUUUGAUAAUUUUGGGAUAUGUUCUGAAAUUAAACUUGAACUUUUUUCUGUGAAUUUUGAAGAUUUGGUAUCUUAUAAUUAUUUGGUGAGCAUUUGGCAUGAAUUAUUUAGCUUCUCCCCUGUUUAUGAUUUAUUUCUCUUGUCAUCGAUUUCCAAUAGGAAAAUGUUAUGGUUCUAAAUGUCUCCUGUAGACUUCAGUAAUUGAAAAAUGUCAGUCAAGAUGGGGGGAAUCUGUAAUAUAUAAUAGAGUUUAUCUUUUAGUUAUGUUCAUUUCCACUUUUUUUAAUGUGUUUUUUUUUUAGUAAAUGUCAAAAGUGUUACUCAGUGCAACAUAUUAUGCAAUAUUAUAAUCAACUAACCUCUUCAUUGAUAAUGACUUCAUAUUGAGAGGUUUUUUAAAUCUAGAAAUAUUCUUGUUUUAAAUUCCAGGUUAAAAUGUAAAGGUAUUUUUAUUUUUUUAAUUUUAAUUCUUCUCAAAGCUACUAGUACAUUAUAAAACAACAAUUUCACAUUUAGAAUUUUUAUAUGUAUAUAAAUUAGGAUUAUUUUUUAAUAUUAGCCUUAACUUUCUUUAACUUUUAUGAAAAACAACUAGUCCCAAGGGUAUUUUUACUAUUUAAUAUACAUUAUUCCUGUGAUUCAAAAUCUUAGCAGUAGAACCUGUUGAGCUACUUAACUUUCUGUCUUGGGACUAUCCAGGUGCAGUUAUAACUGGUUUCAAAGUUGUGACCUUUUCCUUGCUUGUUUCAAAAUCAUUCCUUAAAAAAUGUUCAGUAUUUUUCUUUUGUCAAAAAAUAAAAACAGGAUUUGUGGGUUGUUCUGUUUUUUAAAAUUAGUUUGAGAAACUUCCUUUGCCACUUGUUUUCUGUGCAAAUGUUGUAAGAGCUCAAAUUCCCUGGGGGUAGGGAGGACUUUUAUAAGGUUUUUUUGGUUGAAGGGUAUAAAAGGCACUUAAAAGGUAUACAGUUACUUUUAUUUCGAUAUCCCAGUCAUUUUGACAUUAUGAUAAGCUUUCCCCACUUUAUAGGUUAUCUGAAAAUUUGGUGGGGGGCGGGUAUUUUAUUUAUACUUAAUAUAACAAAAUUAUUUUCCUAUGUGUAGUCAAUAGCACAUACAAAAAAUUAUCUCCUGUUUGUAGUCAGUAGCACAGUCAGUAUUCACCAAAAUACUGAGUUAUUUUUCAAGUAAAGGUAUAAGUAUGAAUGAGAAACAGUUUGUGGGUUGGGUAUUGUCAGUCCUUCUUUUUCAGAUAACUUUCUAAAUGGUCAUUCAAUCUGUAAUCUUAAACUUUUUUAAUGUUAUAAAUUCUUCAAAUCAGUAUUUGUAUUAAAUGCAGUGACCAGACUAUGUCACUGAUACAAUGUCAUGAUUAGAUGUGCAGAAGACUAUGUUACAUGGAUGAUAAAUGAACUUUUAACAUAUAGAAAUUAAUAUCAGAUUAAACUAAAACAUUAAGCAAAGUUAAUACAUGCUUGCAUACAUAUAUAUAUUUAUUUAUUAAUGAUAUGUGGAGAAUCUUUGUGCUUCAUAGUCACUAGACCUAAAGUAGAAGCAGUUGUCAAGAAUGUCCAACUGCUAUUCAUCUUUGUGGCCAAAGUAAAUUUCAGAUUUUUUUUUUGUAAUGGUUUUCUUUAGUCUCUUUAUUAACCCAUCAUCAUGACAAGUCUGUCAAGUGACACAUGUGAAAAGCAGAUGUCCUUUCUUAUUCCUGGUGCUUCCUAAGGAGGCAGUGCAAUGCAGGAGAAGGAACAUUAUUAGAGAUAAAGGAAAAAACCAGAAGUGCUUUCUCCUCUCACAUUCCACUCAACACUUCUCUCACCAAAUGUGUGUGGGGAUUUCUCUCCACCAACAACCAGCAGUUCUUUACUGCAGAUUCUCCAGUGGAUACCAGCCAGGUGUCCUCUAAUUCAGUUCAAUUCUGACAUUAUCUACUGGGAGAUAGUGUCAGAUCCCGCAAGUGGAGGGCUCAGUCCUACAAGACUACCCCUUACUUCAGAUGUCAGUCACAAGCAGUUAGCGGUUUGUGAUUCUGACCAACUGGCUAGAGGUCCCCCUCCUCAAGUGUGAUUAAUUUGCUAGAGCAGCUCACAGAAUUCAGGGAAACACUUUAUUUACAUUUACCCAUUUAUUAUAAAGGAUAUUAUGAAGGAUACACAUGAACUGCCAGAAAGACAAGGAGCAUAGGCAAGAUACUGAGAAGGGUCACGGAGCUUCUGUGCCUUCUCCAGGUGCACCACCCUCUGGGAAUAGUCAGUUCAUGUGUUCAGCUGUCUCGAAGCUCAUUCGAACCCUGUCCUUCUGAGUUUCUGUGGAGGCUUCAUUACGUUAAGGUUCAGAAAUCAAUACCCCAAAAUAUGGGGCUUUGACAUGCUGAAUUAAAGAAGCAGCCUCAAGGCCUCUUGGCCUUCUCCAGCUCUCCUCACCCAAAUCCUGUCUCUCCCAAAGCACAAGAUGAGGCUGUUCACCAAAGUUCCCUUAUUUACCUAGAAACUGGACCUUAAAGAGGAACACAGUUGCCUGCGAUUCCAUCCCUGUAAUUUUAUUAACCAGAGAUUAAAACUUAUAUCACAGAGGAAGAGACUAAAAAUUAAACACCACACCUGGAGCCCAGAUGACCUGUCCCAAUCUAUUAUCUGUUCUCCAGUCCCAUUUAGUUCCCAAAGGGAAUCAUUUACAAACCAUUGUCUGAUCUUCCGGCCCAUUUAUUUACAGCUCCCCCUCUUUCCCCAAUGAAAAUGAUACUUAAGUGUCAGCCAUCUAUCGGCUCUUUGAGUUUUCACAUUUUGUAUGACUCCUGUGCACACACAUGCAUGUAAUAACUGUUAUACUUGUUAACUUUUUUUCAUUAUAGGGGUAUCCACCAUGAUUAUAUAUGAUGGGGAGGAAAGGGAUUACUCCAUUUCUGCCCCUGCAGUCUGUAGGCAUGAUUGAUUACAUCAUUGGUCGCCGGUGAUUAACUCAGUCUCCAAGCCCUGUCGUGUCCCUGGAGGUUGGAGGGUGGCACUGAAAGCUCCAACCAUCUCAUCAUGCUUUGAUCUUUCCGAUGACCAGACCCCACCCUGAAGCUAUCUACGGGUCCCCAGCAACAUUCAUUUCGUUAUCAUACAAAUGACAUUCUUACAAUUUCAGAGAUUCCAAGGGCUUUAGGAAAUGGAGAUGAAGAGCAAAUAUAUAUUUCACAAUAUCACAAACAUACCCUUGGGAAUUAGACCUCUGAUCUAAUCUAGGCUCCCUCACUUGCCAUUUUUGUGACCUUGAACAAGUUGUUCAUCUUUUCUGGAUAGUUCUCUGUUAAAAAAAUUAAAAUAAAAAAAUGGUGGCUAUCAGGUUGUUAGGAGGACUAGAUAAGAGAACUAUGUGAAGGACCCUGCACAGUGCUAGCAACAAAGUUGUUUAGUAAGUGCUAUUUCAAUUUAUUUUGCUUCCAAGCUCAUGUGAGCUCCCUCAGUGUGUACCACCAAAUCACAUGAUGUGUAUCCCAGUCAAAUCUUAAAGGUCAUCCACCUUGAAUCUUUAAGUUAAUUAACGUGUGUUUUUAAAACUGCAUUAUAAGAACGUUAGGGUUUUUGUUUUGAUCCUAUGGAAGUUAAAUUUUUUACACAAGCAUUCAACUGUUUAGCUUCAAACUGAACAGAUAAAUAGUCUGUAUUAUUUCAUUAUGUAUUAAAAAAUGAUUAAGCCUGCCUCAGGCAGUUCAGGCAAAGCAGGUAAAAGAUUAUCAAGGAGUAACAUUAGAAAACACUAAUCAGAGUGCCUAAAAAGCUUUAUGCGGUCCAGGUUGUACAGGGAUGUUGGAACAGUAAAACAAACAAAACAUUACAAGGUAUGAAGCGUUCGAGAUAGGUAGAAUAGAGCAGGUUAUAUUAGAGAAGUCUCUUCUAAAAUUGUGUUGGCUAGCCUGGGAUUUGAACUUAUACCGUGUAUGUAUGUCCAUGUGUAACAGGUUGAACAUGCAAGAAGCAGUGUUCAUAAAAGGUGGCAAACUUGUUUUACUUGUUUCUCAGUCUUUUCAGAUCAGUACUUAUAAAACACUGAUAUUUACAGUAAAUAUCUUAUAUUAAAUAUUAGCUAACCCUAUUAAAUUGUGUGUCCUUGUGCUGCAGUCAUUUAAUGACCUCAUUCUUUGGUAAGUUGGCAUGUGAUUUGAGAUAGCUCUAAGUGCUAAUGGAUUGUUUGAAGGAGUUAAAGGCAAAACCAGGAAGAGAAAACUAUUUUUAGGAAAAAGCGAUCAUACAACAGGCCUUAAAUAGAAGAAAUGAGAUAUCUCUAUCUUUACUAUGUAACCUUUAAUUCCUUACACAUUUUGACUUCAUAUUUUUUGUAUGUAAAUGAGAAUGUUAUAGUCUUGUAAAUUCCUUUUCCUCUGUGACUACAUUCAGUUAUUUAUUUUAUUGUGUGUUUGUGCAUGUCGGUAGAGCACAGUAUUUAGUAGAAUGAGUUAUUGGUUAAACCACCUGGAUUCAUUUGUAAAAUGGGGCCACCUGUCUCUUAAAUUGUAAUGAGGAUUUGAUUAGAUAAUCUAGAUAAAUCACUUAGCACAAGAGUCUCCAGCCCCCGGACUCUUGACUGGUACUGGUCUGUGGCCUGUUAGGCACUGGGCUGCACAGCAGGAGGUGAGCAGGGAGCAAGCUAGCACUAGGGCCCAAGCUCCGCCUCCUGUCGGAUCAGUGGCAGCAUUAGAUACUCAUAGGAGCACAGACCCUGUUGUGAACUGUGCGUGUGAGGGAUCUAGGUUUCGUGCUCCUUACAAGAAUCUAAUUAAUGCCCGAUGAGUUGAGGUGGAACAGUUUCUUCCCAAAACCGUCUCAGGAAACCUGUCCCUGGUGCCAAAAUUUGGGGGACCUCUGACGUAGCACACUAUCUGGCACAUACCAAGCACUCAGAAAAUAUCCCAUUUCUCAAAACUCAGUUCCAGUGUCAAGUCUUAAUAGUAUAUUGAUCUUGGAACUCCAAGGUAGUUGGUCCUCUCUUUGUGCCAUAAAUGUGCCUUGUACUCAGUAGUGCUAAAUUGCUAUCAACUAGUGCUAAAUGUACUACUAAUUCAUCUGUGUGUCCACUUCCCUUCUUAGAUUGUGAGCCCCUUGAGGACAGAGAUGGGUUUACUCAUAUUUAUAAAUUCAUUGGCAUGAUAAAUAUUUGCUGAAAGAAUAAAAUUGUAUUCUUAUGUUUUAAGCAGGGUCCCCUCCACCUCUGAGUGGAAGAUGGUCUGGGAGCAAAGGUGACAGGUCUUCUAAAAAAUCUGGCCACAUUCUCAACCCACCACACCCCCGCUUUUUUAAACAGCUAUUUAAUUGCCAUUGUAAUCCUAAGGAUUGGAUCAAUUUUUCACUUCCCUUUUUCACACUUUUUUCCUUUUACUAAGAAAAUAAAGUAAUAAAGUGACUGCCAAAUGGAGAAAACUGUCCACUAAAUAUGAAUUAAUAAGUGCUAUUAUCAGAAAUUGUGUAAAAGCAACAUAAUGGCACUAUAAAAAGGUAUUAUCUUAGAAUCAAAAACCUUGGGUUUAUAUUAUAGCCCUGCUACUUUCUAGUCAUAUGACAGUGAUCAAGCUAUAUUACCUCUUUGGCUUGACAAAAUAGGGGUCAUCUCUAUUUCUGGCUUGUUAUGAUUGAUGUGAAAUAUUCAUACAAACUACCACUGUGCCUGGUAAGUAGAAGACACUCAAAUAUGUCUUGGAGUUACAGUUAAUACUGUAUCGUUUAAAUUUGAGAAAAACCAACUUUAAAAAAUCACAUAGAUACAGUUGUUUACUGCUAGAAAUUUUAUUUAAAUUAGUUGAUACUCUUGGUUAGGUAAUGAAAAACAAUGGUUUUAUCUCCAUUAUGCUGUGAUAGGGAAGAGUAACACAGUUCAAAUGGCAAAGGCAUACCUGACAAUUAAAAUGCAUAGUUAAAGGCUAAUACUUCCUGAACACAAGAAGACAAGUCUCUACUUGAUACUACUCUCCACAGUUAAAUCAUUGAUACUUUGUGCCAUACAGUGAAAACAGAACCAUCUAGGUGUUCACGGAUUGUAUUUUUCCUUAUGAAAGGUAGAAGGUUAGAGAAAAUUAUUCCCAAUACAAUUAAUACAAAUAAAAUUGGUUAUUAGGUGCCUUUUAAUUAGGCAGUAAGGGCAUAUGAAGCUUCAUUACCUAUGAGAAUUUUGUCAAAAUUAUUUCCCAGUUACCAUGUUUUAAAACAGCCUCUCAGAAUUCCCCACUUCUAAUUUCUCCUUUCUAUUCUACCAAUUUUACUCCAUACCUUUUUGCUAAAUAAACAUUUUCUUCCAACUCUGAGUUUGGUGUUUUUUUCAUUUGAUCUGCUCUUCAAAGUGUAUCAGCUAGUGAUUGAAUUAGGCUAUGGUGUAACAGAGAACUCUAAGACAGUAGCUUAAACAAGAUUUUUUUUUUAACCCCUGAGUCUUGCUGCCUUUUUCACAAAGACAAAGCUUUUUCAGAAACUCCCAGCUUAUGUCUCAUUUGCCACAACUGCGUAACAUGGCUAUCUUUUAGCUGUAAGAGAUGCUGAGAAACAUAGUUUUUUUGCUGGGCAUAUUGUCACUGAGCAAAAUCAAAGUUUUAUUUGGAUUAUUGUACUUACAAUUCACCUUUUAUGGCAAUUUAAGUAGUCAUUUGUCAUAGAUUGGAGGAUUUCCUGGAAGGGUGAAGAACUUCUAUAUAGGUUACUUAUUCUGACUAACAUAAAUUAUCCUACCACCACAAUCCCAUAACUCUAAACUUACAGAGAUGUCAUAGAAAACAACAAAUAUACACACAGCUAACCACAAAAGAAAAAGGAAAUCCCAGCUGCCAGAAGUGAAGAAAAAACAGCCAGAAUAGUGAACUCAGCAGCUGAAGGUACACUGACCUAGGUGGAUGAUAGUGUUGGCUGUGGGUCUCACCAAUGGACCCUGAGACUUUAACAGCAAGAGAUAUGGCCUGACUAUACAGGGAAGCUGGGACUGAGACCUACACAAAGCCAAGACCUUAGAAGGUGCUCCAGCCUCAGGAAGGAGGAUGAGCAAACUUCUACACAAUAACCCAGGGAAGCUACAAAGUUGUCUGAACCCAAGACUUUAGGGUGGAGAAAGAGGAAGGUGUCUGUGAGAAAGAGUUGAAGUUUACAUUUCAGUUUUGCUUUCAGAAUAUCCAUGCUUAGCUUAAAAAUGUGAGGCACAUUAAGUUACUGGCUUUAAUAAAGGAAUGAAUGAAAUGUACAGAAGUAUGUGUUCUCGGGGCCUCUUUUAAAGUCAUUAGGGGAAAGAAUUGGCAUAUAUUCAGACGCAUUUGAAGAAAUUAUAUAUUUUUGGAGAUGGAGUCUUGCUCUAUCGCAUGGCAUGAUCAUGGCUUACUGCAGCCUCAAUUUCCUGGGCUCAAGUGAUCCUCCCAUGUAAGCCUCCCGAGUAGGUGGGACCACAGGCAUGUACCACCUUGCCUGGCUAGUUUUUAAAAUUUUUGUAGAGAUGGAGUCUCACUGUGUUGCCCGAGCUGGUCUCGAACUCCUGGGCUCAAGUGAUCCUCCCACCUUGGCCUCCCAAAGUGUUACGAUUACAGUCAUGAGCCACCAUGCCUGGCCUGAAGGAAAAUUUUAAAACAGAAGGAAUAAGCUAGAAUGCAGCACAGAAGAGGUAGAAAAUUGAAAGUAAUUCAUGGAAGAUCCAAUAUACAUAUAUAUUUUAGGAGUUUAAGGAGAAAACAGAAGGUGUGAGGCAGUUGUGAACUAACAGAAUGUGUAGUAUACAACUCUUGGUAGAGAAAUGGUACGCACUGAAGUUUUUGAGGCGUGGGGGACAGGUAGCUUCCUUCUCUCAUGCAUACUCCUGCUGCCAAAUUACCCCCUAACGGCUACGUUAUAAUGAAAACAGUUUCAUGCCAGCUUCUGUUAUAUUAACCGAGCAAGAAAACUGAUCUUAGCAUGUUCUGCAGGCUAAAGGAAAUUGCUCUUGGCCCAUUUAGGUGCUCUAACCACCAUCUUGCCUGAAAGGUUCCUUUAAGAAGCAGAAUUCUAUUACUUUAACAAAAGGUGUGUUCAUGGCUGGACAAGAGCCUUUUAGGGGGUUAGACUAGGACAUCAUCCCAAAAUAUAAGGGCUACAGGCCAUGCUGGAUUCUUAUGGCCUCUUCUUGCAAUGGUGGUAUGUGUUACUCUGCUAUUAGUCAGUCUGAAAACCUUUAAUCUCACCAUCGGAGGCCCAUUUAAAAAAUUACUUUAGCAGGUCACUAAUAAAAAUUUCUACCAUUUAGUAUGAAAAUUAAGACAUUGUAUGUUGAUCAAGAUGCAGUCAACAAUACCUAGAAUAGCUUCCACUAGAGUAUGCAUUCUCUGAUUAGAACACUAGUUCAUCUUCCUAGUGAACUGUUCUAUCAGGAUGGUAGCAAGACUUAAGCGAUGACUUUACAUAAGUUAUGUGUACCACACUGUGUAUACUGGAGUAUUUCCAUGUAAAUUACAGACAACAGCUAUACUGGAAGCAAUAAAUGGCCAAGAAAUUUCCAGAGUUGACCAAAGACAUCAGGAAUGAUACUUGCUUCCAGAAAAAGAACCAAUGUAACAUUGGCUUAAACUGUUGUGCUUUUGCUUUUCUUUCAGAUGUAGGCUGUCCAGGUGUCCGGUACUAUAACUCCACAAGAUCAGUAGGGCCCCAGGCUUUUUCUGUUCUUUAUGAUCCACUCUCUACCAUGUAGCAUUUGUCUUCAAGAUCAAAAAAUGGUGGCUGUAGUGCUCACAUUCCAGAUAAGGAAGAAUGGGCAAGAAACAAAAGAUCCACUCCAAAUGUGAUGGCAAAAUUAAGACUUUUGAGUGAAAAAUGGAAAUUUGUCUUCAGUACAUACACACUGAAAGAAAUGUUGAAGAGAGUUCUUCAGGCAGAAGCAAAAUCAUUCCAAGGGAAAUCCUGGAAUGCAGGAAUAAAUGAAGAGCAAUGGAAAUGGUAAAUAUGUGGGUAAAUUUGAAGGAAUAUUGGCUGUAUUCUGUGGUUUAAAAUAUCUGUGGAAUUAAAAUGCACCUACAAUAACGAGACAGGAGAAGUUUGUACUGGAGUUUGUCCUCAGGUUCUAGCAUUAGGUAGGUAAAUGGUAAGAUUACUUUUUUUAGACUAUGAAGACAAGGGUGCAUGUUGUAAUCUCUUAAGCACUAAAAGGCUAAUAGAAUGUAUACCUAACAAUUUAAUGGAGACAAAAGCAUUUAAAAGAAGGCAA
RNAcentral lists this long non-coding RNA (10967 nucleotides) under Homo sapiens (human). Its description in RNAcentral is "HSALNT0350356". Lineage: Eukaryota; Metazoa; Chordata; Mammalia; Primates; Hominidae. The record is from RNAcentral.